UACGUAGGGGGCUAGCGUUGUCCGGAUUUAUUGGGCGUAAAGAGCUCGUAGGCGGUUCGGUAAGUCGGGUGUGAAAACUCUGGGCUCAACCCGGAGAGGCCACUCGAUACUGCCGUGACUUGAGUCUGAUAGGGGAGCACGGAAUUCCUGGUGUAGCGGUGAAAUGCGCAGAUAUCAGGAGGAACACCGGCGGCGAAGGCGGGUCUCUGGGCCGUAACUGACACUGAGGAGCGAAAGCGUGGGGAGCGAACAGG
RNAcentral lists this ribosomal RNA (254 nucleotides) under uncultured bacterium. RNAcentral's name for it is "partial 16S ribosomal RNA". It matches the Rfam family "Bacterial small subunit ribosomal RNA", at positions 524 to 776 of the family's 1533-position model. The record is from RNAcentral.